GUGGUCACUUUGGCAGCACAUAUACUAAAACUGGAAUGAUACAAAGAAGACUAGUGUGGCCCCUAUGCAAGAGUGACAUGCAAAUUCUUGAGAUGUUCUAUAUUUCU
Small nuclear RNA from Pteronotus mesoamericanus, 107 nucleotides. Lineage: Eukaryota; Metazoa; Chordata; Mammalia; Chiroptera; Mormoopidae. The record is from RefSeq and is a predicted model, not a curated record.